GAUGAACGCUGGCGGCGUGCCUAAUACAUGCAAGUCGAGCGAACAGAUAAGGAGCUUGCUCCUUUGACGUUAGCGGCGGACGGGUGAGUAACACGUGGGUAACCUACCUAUAAGACUGGGAUAACUUCGGGAAACCGGAGCUAAUACCGGAUAAUAUUUCGAACCGCAUGGUUCGAUAGUGAAAGAUGUUUUUGCUAUCACUUAUAGAUGGACCCGCGCCGUAUUAGCUAGUUGGUAAGGUAACGGCUUACCAAGGCGACGAUACGUAGCCGACCUGAGAGGGUGAUCGGCCACACUGGAACUGAGACACGGUCCAGACUCCUACGGGAGGCAGCAGUAGGGAAUCUUCCGCAAUGGGCGAAAGCCUGACGGAGCAACGCCGCGUGAGUGAUGAAGGUCUUCGGAUCGUAAAACUCUGUUAUUAGGGAAGAACAUACGUGUAAGUAACUGUGCACGUCUUGACGGUACCUAAUCAGAAAGCCACGGCUAACUACGUG
This 497-nucleotide ribosomal RNA is filed under the name uncultured bacterium. RNAcentral's name for it is "partial 16S ribosomal RNA". It matches the Rfam family "Bacterial small subunit ribosomal RNA", at positions 28 to 507 of the family's 1533-position model. The record is from RNAcentral.